Long non-coding RNA from Pygocentrus nattereri (red-bellied piranha), 1839 nucleotides. The record is from Ensembl. NCBI's taxonomy places the organism in Eukaryota, Metazoa, Chordata, Actinopteri, Characiformes, Serrasalmidae.
GUAACUGAAAAGUAGUCACUACUUUUCAAAAAGUAGCUAAAAAGUAGUCACUACUUUUCAAAAAGUAACUGAAAAGUAGCUGCUACAAAUUUUGGGAAAGUAGCUGCCUACUAAUAUUCCCAACCCUGCAUGUGCAAUAAUUCUAAUAGUUCACCAGGGGUAAGUGGAAUGCACUAAUGCUAAAUAAAUAAAAAAAAAAUUUGGCCCAAAACUUCAUUCUGUGCUGUCUGGCUACUUUCCUCAUCAGAGACUUUUGACAUGUAUCCCUCACAAAUACUCUACAAACCAAAACAAGCAGCCGGCAAGCAGGACAAGAUAAAUGUGUAAUUUCUAUAGAGCUACCAAACCGUACCAGGACGAAAUCUAGCCUGUAAGUCUCAGACCAGAAAGAUAAGUAGGUUUAUUUUGUCCAGUUUAGCAAAAUUUAGCAAUUUUGCUAAAAUGGGUUGGUGGAGAAAUGUGUCAUGAAGACUGAUUGAGAGGCUCCUCGGUCUGUAGGUGAAGGUCAGGAACAGCCUCUCAGCCAGGACACCUUUCUCCUCUGAGAAGGCCUGAUUGGGCUAAUUGUCUCUGACUCCUACAUUAAACAUGUCUGCAUUCUAUCCAUUAUAUUCUUACAGCUUGACCAACGUUUAACUGACCUGUCCAGGAAGACCUUUCACAGAGGAAUCAAAAGAACACAAUGGAGGAGAGAGAAAAAAUCAUAGAAGAAAGAGAGAAGCUUCUGAAUCAGAAAGAAAUUAAUUUUCUAGAAAGAGAAAAGCAUCUGGAUGGGAAAGAGAGCCGGUUAUUAGAGAUGGAAAAGCGUUUGGAUGGGAGAGAUACUCGUUUGGAUGAGAGAGAAAAGCGCCUGGACGGAAGAGAUAUUCGUUUGGAUGAGAGAGAAAAGCGCCUGGAAAGAAGAGAGGGACAGACAGACCCAAGACAACAUGUCUUGUCUAGGAGAAGUCAUUGGGGGUUCCUAGGGUCUUUCCUGCCCAUGGGAGAAAGUUUUCCAAUUAUCCCACCCCCCAUAAAAAGAAGAGGAAGCAUUGCUGAACCUCUAAACUGUAAGUCAUUAUCCUGUCAGGUUGUGAGUCAUUGUUCAUUAUUCAAUUGUCUUGAUUUAACGCACGGUGGCAUGGUGGGUAGCGCUGUCGCCUCACAGCAAGGAGGGCCUGGGUUCGAUUCCCCGGCCGGGCGACCAGGGUCCUCUCUGUGUGGAGUUUGCAUGUUCUCCCUGUGUCUGCGUGGGUUUCCUCCGGGUUCUCCGGUUUCCUCCCACGGUCCAAAGACAUGCAGUCAGGCCAAUUGGACAUGCUAAAUUACCCCUAGGUGUGAGUGACUGUUUGUGUCUGUCUGUCUGCCCUACGAUGGACUGGCGACCUGUCCAGGUUGUAUCCUGCCUUUCGCCCGAAGACUGCUGGGAUAGGCUCCAGCACCCCCCCGCGACCCUGACGGAGAAGCGGCAUGGAUGGAUGGAUGAUUUAACGUUACAAUAAACUUAAAGGGGAACAUCACUGGCUUUUUAAAAUGUCUGAAUAGUUAAAUGUUUAAGGUGUAAACGCUCAUUCAGAGUGAUCUGAUGUGACGUACUCUGAAUUAGAGAACCUCUCUGCCUCUGAUUCUCUGACUCUUCAAGCCCUGGGCCAACAUUCAACAACCAUGGGCUCCUCUUAGCAGCUGAAGACGUGAAAAUCAAGCAAACUGAUGCCUACAAAGAAGGAGAAGAGUAUAAAAAGAACUGCUCAUAUCCAAAAGGCAAAGCAAAACCCCCACAUGACAGCAAAGGACCUGCAGGAAGGUUAAGUUGACACAUUAGAGGCGGUGCACUGUUCUACUGUGCAGCACUGCUUGUGC